Molecule: unclassified non-coding RNA, 281 nt
Filed under: Hevea brasiliensis (rubber tree)
Lineage: Eukaryota; Viridiplantae; Streptophyta; Magnoliopsida; Malpighiales; Euphorbiaceae
Source: RNAcentral
AGUGAAUUGCCAUUCAUGGCAUUCUUUUGGAAUAACAAUCAACAGAAGCAACAGGAAACUGGGUUAUUUUUAUAUGAACAAAUGGUGGAUGACACACCUAAUUUAAAUAUUGGCAAAAGAUUCUUCCCUUUCUCUGUAAUUCAUCAGCUUCAGCUUUUAUCACUUCUUCAGUAGCUUCAUGGAUGAGUAUUGGAUGAACUGAAGCUGCUGGUUUCCAAAGCAUCAUUGCUAUUGCCCACGAGUUUGAUAGUUAUAGUUUCUGCCACAAAAAAGGUAAACCA